Molecule: ribosomal RNA, 484 nt
Filed under: uncultured bacterium
Lineage: Bacteria
Description: partial 16S ribosomal RNA
Rfam family: Bacterial small subunit ribosomal RNA
Source: RNAcentral
AUUGAACGCUGGCGGCAGGCCUAACACAUGCAAGUCGAGCGGAUGAAGGGUGCUUGCUCCUGGAUUCAGCGGCGGACGGGUGAGUAAUGCCUAGGAAUCUGCCUGGUAGUGGGGGAUAACGUCCGGACACGGGCGCUAAUACCGCAUACGUCCUGAGGGAGAAAGUGGGGGAUCUUCGGACCUUACGCUAUCAGAUGAGCCUAGGUCGGAUUAGCUAGUUGGUGGGGUAAAGGCCUACCAAGGCGACGAUCCGUAACUGGUCUGAGAGGAUGAUCAGUCACACUGGAACUGAGACACGGUCCAGACUCCUACGGGAGGCAGCAGUGGGGAAUAUUGGACAAUGGGCGAAAGCCUGAUCCAGCCAUGCCGCGUGUGUGAAGAAGGUCUUCGGAUUGUAAAGCACUUUAAGUUGGGAGGAAGAGCAGUAAGUUAAUACCUUGCUGUUUUGACGUUACCAACAGAAUAAGCACCGGCUAACUUCGUG